UGGGGAGCCAAAUGAUUAUCAGCGGUUACGGGUCACAGUUGUGCUUGCUGUAAUGACAAUGCCGACAUUCACUUACGGUAAUUUGAGUGAUUCCAUUUGGCUUGCUGCUGUUAUGCUAUGUUUUUUCUGUCAUGGAAAUUUUGCAGGUAGUUUUGAUAGCAGCUCCAGAUAUGUUUUCCAUAAUCAAUAACAAAUUCAGCAGUGCCUCUGCUACCAAACUCAGCAUCAUUUGUGGUAGGUUUUGAAUUAAACCGCGUAUCUUUCCUGGGUGAUGUAGAGCGCAACAGAGCCGGGGAUACCACGUUCUCGUUUUUAAGGCCUCUACAAGUAACCAUACAAGAUAUAUCAAGAGAACUCGAAUCGUCACAAUUUCUGUUCUCUUUCGAUUCUCUAAAGGAAUUAGAGCAGGCAUUCAGCUCGUAGACAGAAGUGUGAAACUCGUCCUUUGAUGCUUCCCGUCAAACAACAAAAUGUAAGGCAAAAUUGUAGCUUCAACAAAAAAACUUGACUUGUCGGACCUCACAUUAUUAGGAUGCUUUUUCUUGUGGAGGAAAUUUGUGAGAUACUUGGAGACAACUAAAGAUCAUUCUGCAUGAUAAUGAUUCACUAAAUUCCCAUUGAUCCACAAGUCCGUCAAUGCCAUCCAUAAUAACAUCACAAUUUGUCAGCUCAAAUAUGUCAUUGGAAUUCCAAGUCAGGGGCAGGUCUGGUAUAAGAACGUCAAUGCCACUAGCUGCAUCAACCAAUCUUGUGACAAGGAGCAACACCCAGAGUCUUGUUGAAAAUAGUAAUGACUGAAUGAACUUUCCUGUAAGUUGAAAGAAGCAAAAUGGUUCCCAUAUGAUAUGAACUGCAAUGAAUUGUUGGUU
Long non-coding RNA from Lathyrus oleraceus (garden pea), 869 nucleotides. RefSeq lists it as uncharacterized. The transcript is spliced from 4 exons. NCBI's taxonomy places the organism in Eukaryota, Viridiplantae, Streptophyta, Magnoliopsida, Fabales, Fabaceae. The record is from RefSeq and is a predicted model, not a curated record.